Molecule: long non-coding RNA, 2068 nt
Organism: Amaranthus tricolor (Joseph's coat)
Lineage: Eukaryota; Viridiplantae; Streptophyta; Magnoliopsida; Caryophyllales; Amaranthaceae
Exons: 2
Source: RefSeq, a predicted model, not a curated record
AUAGCAUUCAUGGACCCCUUUAUUAUUAAUUAAAUUAAUUAAUUGGAAUUAAAAUAGGAAUUAGGAUCCUCCAUUAAAUAUAGUCAAUUAUAGGAUAUUCCUCUCCAUUUCAAUUUCAUUCAAAUAUCCCCACCUCAUAAAUAGGCCUUUGUUCCUUGCUUUAGCUUUGUUCACAAUCACCACAUUGUGUUGCCUACUAAAAGCAAAACUCCCCCAAAACAAACAUUUCACAACCUCUCCUUUUCUCUUUAGAUCUUGUUUUUAUUCUCUUUCUUUUCUCUUCCACAAGUGUUUCACGUAAGGUUCAAGGGUUUCAUCCUUUUUUCUUUCAUUAAGAAUACUCGCGAACAACCGAGUGGGUCGAGUGGGAGACAGAAUGUAGUCCGACUUAUGAUCUCUUGCUCGACUGGUCGAGCAACCUUCCUUGGGUCGAGCCAUGGUCGAGCGAGCAGCAAGUACCUAUUAGAGCAUUUCAAAUCCAUCACCAUUCAUCAAUCAACCCGUAUACUAUUCCUAACAUCCAAGACACAUAUAUACCCAUCAUAUCAAAUGUACACAUUGGGCUUUAUUGAGUCACUACAUCUAACAGUAGUGGUGGAGGAUUGGGCAAUACAGUGGUAGUUGUAGCAUUUGGGGGACGCAAGGACCGAAUUCAAUGAAAUGCAAUGUUGUUUUUUUUUUUUUAAUUGAUAGAAGCUAACAUUGUGUAAAAUAACUUGCCAAAUAAUUAAAAUUUAGCAAAUCUCAACAAUUCAAGUGGACUUGGAAUUUUUCUAUCUUUUUGAUAGAUAGUAUAUAUCUUUUUGUUAUGUAAUUAAUUUUAUUUAAAUUAAACAUAGCUAAUUAGAUUUUUUUAAUGCAAUUUUAAUUGGUAGAAGAUAACAUGGUGUAAAAAAAACUGGCCAAAUAAUUAAAUUUAGCAAAUCUGAACAAUUCAAGUGGCAGAACUCCCAAAGAGUACCACUUGGAAAUUUUCAAUCUUUUUAAUAGAUAAUAUAUAUCCUUUUGUAAUGUAAUUAGCUCCAUUUAAAUUAAACAUAGCUAAUUAGAUAUUUGGUUUUUCUUUUUUUUUUUUAAUUUUAAUUGGUAGAAGAUAAUAUGGUGUAAAAACAACUUGUCAAAUAAUUAAAAUUUAUCAAAUCUCAACAAUUCAAGUGGCAGAACUCCCAAUAAAAGUGUCACUUGAAAUUUUUCAAUCUUUUUGAUAAAUAAUAAAUUAACAUGAUGUACAACUAACUUGUCAAAUAAUUAAAAUUUAAUAAUUAAAAUUUAACAAAUCUUAACAAAUAGUAAAAGUUGAUUUACGAUGUUUGUUUCCUUGAGAUGAAACAUUGUAGUUUUUUUUCCUUUUGUUUUAAUCCCAUUCUUUUAUUUACUUUCAAAAUUUUUCUCCUUCAAUUUUUUUUUUGUUAUUUUUAAUUAUCAAAUACUAAUACUAAUAACAACAAUAAUAAUGAUUGUUUCGGUGAUGAAACGAGGAAGUGCAAAAGACACUUAAAAUACCUGGAGAUAGGUGUAAUCGGGUACAACCAUCAAUAUGCUGAAAAUGUUUAUGAUCCUUCCGCUGAUGAGACCUCAAAUCCUGCAAUACAACGUUAGCCUUGUCCGAGGGUGAUUUCCCGAAAAACCCCUCCGACGCUCAAGUCAGAUCGGGAGACAGAAAGUAAUGAAUAUAUGAUAAUGAAUGAAUACAAGAUUAACGGAUUGUAGGAUGAGUUGAGAUCAAUUGAAGGAAUAUUUGGUUCAGUAUAGAUUGUACGUAGGAGGGUGAAUAUUUAUUGUGGUGUAACGACAACAAUAUAAAAGCUUAGUCCGGUGCAAAUGAUGUACGCGACAUGUAUUUAUAAUGGUAGAAUGGAGGUUAGAUGGUGAAUUAAUGUGGGAAUCAUGGGUAUGAUGGGUGAGUGGUAGGUUAUGAUGAGUAGUGGGUAGUUAUUUUAAGAAGUUAUUGAACCGAGUUGGGUGGUUAGGGUUUGACGGGUUUAUUUAUUUGACCCCAUAACAAUGAUCAAUACUAUAUAUAAUUUGUUAUUCUUGAAUGAUAAUUUUUAACUUGAUUUAGGAUUUA